UACGUAGGGGGCAAGCGUUGUCCGGAAUCAUUGGGCGUAAAGAGCGUGUAGGCGGCUCGAUAAGUCUGCUGUGAAAGUCCAGGGCUCAACCCUGGAAGGCCGGUGGAAACUGUCGGGCUAGAGUCCGGAAGAGGCGAGUGGAAUUCCCGGUGUAGCGGUGAAAUGCACAGAUAUCGGGAGGAACACCAAUGGCGAAGGCAGCUCGCUGGGACGGUACUGACGCUGAGACGCGAAAGCGUGGGGAGCAAACAGG
Molecule: ribosomal RNA, 253 nt
Filed under: uncultured bacterium
Lineage: Bacteria
Description: partial 16S ribosomal RNA
Rfam family: Bacterial small subunit ribosomal RNA
Source: RNAcentral